UGCUAGUAAUCGCGGAUCAGCAUGCCGCGGUGAAUACGUUCCCGGGCCUUGUACACACCGCCCGUCACACCAUGGGAGCCGGUAAUACCCGAAGUCAGUAGUCCAACCUCGUGAGGACGCUGCCGAAGGUAGGAUUGGCGACUGGGGUGAAGUCGUAACAAGGUAGC
Molecule: ribosomal RNA, 167 nt
Filed under: uncultured bacterium
Lineage: Bacteria
Description: partial 16S ribosomal RNA
Rfam family: Bacterial small subunit ribosomal RNA
Source: RNAcentral